CGGGGCUGGUUGCUCCGAGGAAGGAGGAUGGAGUUCUGCAUGGCUAAUUCCACCUCCGUAGCCAUCUCCCUCCCGCCUGCCUCCAAAAGCGCAUUGGAUCCCAGCUCUCUUGAGUGAUCUGGCACCAGAGGAAUCCCCUCCUGGGAGUGUCAGGAGUGUCGCGGCAGCCACGCAGAGGGAGGUACCAGGGAUGCAGGUCUAUCCCAGGCAGCCGGAGGCGUAUCCUGAAUGGAUCCAGUCCAGCUGUUUGCAGCGCUGGCCACGAGUCCCUCCUUCCAUCGCGCCCUGCGAAGCUAUUUGCAGCUGGGCCAAGCGCCAGUGGAAUUCACUCCCGUGCCUGAGAGCCAGGCACCGCUGACACCCUCGCUGGCUUUCAGUGAGCGAGGAAAACCAGCAGCAGUCACCUGGCAGCAGUGUGCAGAGGCUGCCGCAUGCUGGGCUCUGCCUUAGAGGGUGUCUGAGCUCAACAGGCGGCUGUACGGUGGCUCAGGACUCCAGCCACGAUCGCACUGUCCGGAGACAGGAUGAGCAGUGAGAGACAGGCCGUGCAUCACUGGGCUUGUUGGGAAGCCACCGCUAUUCAAGCAAAGGUCUCCUGCUGAUUGCCCUAUUGGCUCCAUCUCAGAAGCGGGGCGGCAGAGAACCUAGUUAAUUAAACCCCAGAAGGCACCUAUGCUUCAUGUGCUAGGCACUGCGGCCACUGGAACUCAGCUGGUGCAUAAACCCAUUACCGGGCCGGAGACUCAUUUGCAAGCAGAGAGUGUUGGUGUUCACAGCUGCCUAGUAAAGCCUCUGUGCCUCGAGUGUGCUCAACAUGCCCGCCGCAUCCUGCAGAGAUGUGAGGGAGACAAAGAGAGGCCAAGGAGGAUGGGGGAAGGAGAGGACAGAAGGUGGAUCCUGAAGCCUUUAUGGAGGCGGGGAAGAAUAGGAGCUCUGAUAAAGGCAAAAUAAACCCGAAUGAGAACUCAG
Molecule: long non-coding RNA, 969 nt
Organism: Alligator mississippiensis (American alligator)
Lineage: Eukaryota; Metazoa; Chordata; Crocodylia; Alligatoridae
Exons: 2
Source: RefSeq, a predicted model, not a curated record